UAUAAAACGUUUUUAACACACUUUAUUCCGUUGAGAUAAAUAUUUGAUUGUUAAAAAAACGGCAAUUUUAAAUAAACUAAAAUUCGAUGAGAUUUCCUUUCGAUGUUUUAAUGUCACGUGCGAUGACCUGCAGCUGUCAGUUGGAGCGAACCAGCGGGCGUCACUGUGUGCAGCACUCACGCGAAACAGAACGUUUCAUGAGAAUAAUAAUAAUGGCGGCGCGUUGAGUGGUACCUCGCGACUUGGCAAGCGGCACUAGGAAGUGAAAAUACCGUAAUUUCUACCAGUUUCACCUACCCGACAGCCAUCGUAGGCCAACCGUGCGCGAACCGGAACUGUCCAGCGUGUUGGCAGCGUGUUUUCAGCGUUCCUACCAGCGAGCAGCGACCAGCGUUCCCGUUUCCGCGUUCGGUGCCGAAUGAUUGGUCGCGAAGGAUCCGGACUCGCUCGCCGUCGACCGUGAUGAUGCUGGACUUUUUCUGUGUGUGAGCAUUGCCAAAUCUCGAAAGAGCUGAUCGGCCGCGCGGAAAGAAAGACUGGAGGACGCACUAGAUUGCAAUCUAGUGCAAUAGUGGUGUGUGGCAAGGGCAAAGCACGUGAAGAUGCACAUUUUCGCAGUGUGUGAAAUGUGAAGUGGUGAAACGCAAGGAGAGAGAGAGAGGGUCUACGCCGUGCAGCCCCGAACGAGUAGCGCAAGUGUGUGUGUGUGUGUAUGUGUGUGGGGGGAGAAUUGUUUCCGUUUAAGUUUUCUUUUCUCCCUUUUUCCCUGUCGUGUUUUUGUUUGAAAGCGAACCGUCUCGCGUCUUGCCGCCGCUUGCCUCCGUGGAAGGGUUGCCCGUACAGCCGACCGGGGGCCGUACCACCAGCCGUGUAAAGCCGUUUGUUUUCAUGCGCGUCUCCCACUGCAUCCCCUCGUUGCGCGAGCUGCCGUAGCAUUUUCGCCUGGUGUGUGCUUUCCAUCCAUCCAGUUGUUGCUUUUUCCCAGAGCAAACGCGGUUUGUGGACCAUAAACGCCCCCUCGUUCGCGUUGCCGUCUUGCUGCGUGCAUUUACGCUGUACCGCGCCUACAAACUCAACUGCCCCGCAGCAGGUACACCAUCCACCGACGACGACGACCCCUUUCAGCACCCGUGUAGCUGUGUAUGACCCCGAAUUUUCUUUCACCCUCAUACACACACAAACACAAACACACCCUGGAACCGGAGCUGUCAUUGGGGUGUUUCUUUUUGCGCUGGCUGGAGUGUUGGCUGGUGAAAAAGAAGCUGACUUUUCAUUUUCCGUUCGACGUGGUGUUUGCGACCUACGGAACUACCGAAAAAGAAAAACGCAUCAUCUUCUGCGACGGCCGUAACAUUUAGUGAGAAAGACUGCUGCUUUGAACAUCCCCGAAGCCCGUAUGUUGACCCGGAAGCAAAACGCUGACCAUCCGGGUGCGCUGAAAUCGGAGGAAUGUGAAGAAACUGCUGCUGCUGCCUAACUGUUGUAGAGUGGAGUUUUGGCCAACUCCGCAGCGCAUCGAAAAAGUGUGCAAUUGAAGGAAUAGUAACACAUUUUACACUUCUUAGUGGUGUUGGUUUCGCAAGGAAACGUUUUUUUUAAGUUGUCCAGACUGGCAUGGAGUGAUGCUAUCUGCUUUCAAUGACAGAACUACUUCUUGUUGAUACUUUGAUGAAGUGAUAUCAACGGACGUUCGUGUGCUGCAUGAAGCCGAUACAAUUCUGACAACCUAACUGAGGCUCGCCUGCCAAGGGCCGGAAACGGUGACCACAAAUCAGUGAAUUAGUUUUCCAUUGUCUUAACAUAACAUUAAAAGAGGCUGCCCUAAGCAAGCGUCGUGCAAGAUGUGGAACUCCGAGCGGUCCCAGUCCAACGGUGGCGGCGGAUCCGGUUCCGCCACCAAGACGCUCGGCAUGACGUCAGCAAUCAGUACGGCUGAGCCAAAGCCGGAGGAUAUACAGAAAACAAAGGAAUUGGAAAAAAGUUUAGAACCAUUUAAUGUGUUUGAGGCCGAGGAGGAACUGAACCAUCGGAUGGAAAUUCUCGCCAAGCUGAACACGCUCGUCAAGCAGUGGGUGCGGGAUGUAUCGAUUUCAAAGAACAUGCCAGAAGCGAUGGCCGAAAAGCUGGGCGGCAAAAUCUACACCUUCGGUUCGUACCGGCUCGGGGUGCACCACAAAGGGGCCGACAUUGAUGCCCUGUGCGUGGCACCGCGCAAUAUAGAGCGGGCCGAUUACUUCGGUUCGUUUUUCGAGCUGUUGAAGCAGCAACCGGAAGUCACCGAGUGUAGGGCGGUAGAGGAAGCGUUCGUACCUGUUAUAAAGAUGAAUUUCGAUGGCAUCGAGAUCGAUUUGCUGUUUGCCCGGCUAGCGCUGAAGGAAAUUCCCGACAAUUUCGACCUGCGCGAUGACAUGCUGCUGAAGAACCUGGAUCAAAAGUCCGUCCGCAGCCUGAACGGUUGCCGAGUGACGGACGAAAUCCUGCGGCUGGUACCUAACAUCGACAACUUUCGCCUGGCGCUGCGAACAAUUAAGCUGUGGGCAAAGCGACAUGGAAUAUACUCCAACUCGCUCGGUUACUUUGGAGGUGUCUCCUGGGCAAUGCUGGUCGCUAGAACGUGCCAGCUCUAUCCGAAUGCAGUGGCAGCAACGUUGGUGCAUAAGUUUUUCCUCGUCUUCUCCCGUUGGAAGUGGCCCCAACCGGUUCUGCUCAAACAGCCCGACAACGUGAACCUAGGAUUCCAGGUUUGGGAUCCGCGAGUAAAUGUGCAGGACCGGUUCCACCUGAUGCCGAUCAUAACGCCCGCGUAUCCGCAGCAAAAUUCCACAUUCAACGUGUCCAGCUCCACGCGCAAGGUGAUGCUGAUGGAGUUCAACCGUGGCAUGCAGAUAACGGACGAUAUUAUGAUGGGCAAGCAGAUGUGGGAGAAGCUGUUCGAGGCACCGAGUUUCUUUUACCGGUAUCGUCAUUUUAUCGUAUUGCUAGUCACCUCCAGCAAUGCAGAUGAUCAUUUGGAGUGGUGCGGUCUGGUGGAGUCGAAAAUACGUUACCUCAUCCAGAACCUUGAGCGCAACCAGCACAUCAAUCUUGCGCACGUGAACCCAAAGUGCUACGAGCAGCACGAACAAAACUCGGCCACCACACUGAACGGGGCGGACGGUAAACCGACCCCAUUCUGUUCGCUCUGGUUCAUCGGGCUGGAGUUUGAACGCUCCGAGAACCUGAACGUCGAUCUGACCGAGAGCAUACAAAGCUUCACCGAUUCCGUACACAAGCACGCGGUCCACAUCAAGCUGCUGAAGGAUGGUAUGAAGAUCGAGGCUAGGCAUGUGAGACGGAAGCAGCUUACCCAGUACCUCGAUCCCAAUCUGCUGAAGCGCGAACGAAAGAUCUCCGACAGCUACACACAGUCCAGCAGCAGCAGCGGCGGCACGGCCAGUGCCAGUGGCAAUUCCAACGGUUCGGCGUCACCAGCGGAUGCUGGUUCACGUAAACGAAAAUCAAGCGAUCUGGCUAGCUCUUUGACCAGUCCCGUCGUUGCAUCGCCGGCGGGCAGCAAUGGCAGCGCGAGUAAAAAGCGACGCAACGAUUCCUUCGAUGGUGCCUCUAACAGCAGCUUCUGUAGCACGACGUCGACGACGCCCGGACAAACCACCGAAACGCAAAGCAUGGAAGGGAACGAAACGACCCCUACCACCACCACAGCCGUGUCCAACACUGCCACCGUCCCGGGCGACACCGGUACACUGUCCACCUCCUCCGCCGCAUCCUCUUCGCCGGCGAACGGCGAAAGGGACGAAAGUGCUGCCCCUUCGAGCUCUGCCGAGGAGCCACCGUCCUGUGCCGAGGGCGGCAUGCUCGAUGACGAGAGCUGCUCGUACGAUCCGGCGACCGCGGCGGCCUCCAACCCCAACGGCAAUCCACAUAACAGCACCAACAACAGCAACAGCGGUAGCGGUAGUAACGACAGUAGUAACGGUAACAGUUCGGCACCGACUGCCACCGCAGCCGAGGUCGCCUGCUCUUGACUGACUCAUCGCCAAGCGAUGUUCCGCAAUGGAGAACCGCCGUCCCCUGCCGCUGGGGGGCGGUCUUCGAUUACUGAUGCUGGUGAUGUUAGUAGUAAGGAUCAGACAAAGGGAAGCGUCGCCGUACCAGCUACCGCCGUUGCUGCUGCUGUAGUUGCUUAACCGAAGGCGGAGAGCCAAGGCGGUGGUGCUGCUGGUGGAGAUGUGGAUGGUGCAAACGACCAUCGAGAGUAGAACUAGAUGAAGAUAAUUUAGACACGCAGAGGGCCGGCGGCCGUCGGGAAGGUGCGAACUGUAACAGCAAACGACUGACAAAAACUUUACAUGGUUGAAUAAUAUGGAAGGGAUGCAAGUUAGAUCUAAAACCCAAGGAAAAAAUAAUAAUCAUUUGUAAAUAGCAUUCAAAGGAUCGUUAGAAGGAGAACAUAGAAUGGAUAUUUCUAUCGAAUAUGACGGACACACACAACACCGGCCGACGGGAAGGGAAUGGAUCGUUGCUGUCAGUUAAUGUGUAUGAUAUGAAGGUAAGAUAGCUACAUUUCGUCAUCUCCCUCAUUCCAUCCAUACCGGAUGCAACAAUGCUAGCGUGCGCAAGUGUAAAGAAUAAGUAGAAGUGCGUGAGAAAAAAACAAACUAUUAAAACAGAUAAGAAGCGGCACACAGCGUCUGCUACAUUAGUACCCGGUAGACUACAGACUGGUGUUUCCCAUUAGAUACACAUAAGAAUCUGCUAACCCUCCCCCACGUACGUUGGAUUGGAUUGGCAUGUAGGAUGUGGGUGCAACUAGGCACAGAAAGAGCAUGGCUGUUGGAUAGAAUAGCAACGGUACGCAAGCAAGGGUUAAUAUUUAACUUUGUGCACAGUUUAGAUCAUUGUAAAAGUGUGGCUCUAUGACAAAGUAAUGCAUGUAAGGAUUGUACAUAGUAUUCACCGAUGAGGUGACAAAUGGUAGGCAAACUAAAGCUGGCCCUGGCGCUGCAAGAACGGAAGGGACGAAAGCAACAUCUAAACGGUAAAGGAAAGAGGACGAUAUCGACCUGAACAGUAAAAAAAUGCCAGAAGAGGAGGAAAUAGAAUUAUAUGUUUUGCAGCUGCAGCACGGAUGCUGAAACAGGCAGAGAGAAAGAACCGACAGCAAAGUGGAGGAGUAAGCAUUUACUCAGGCAGCAAUAUUCCUAUAGACUUACUAAUUAAUUCUUCAAGAUGUUGUUUUUUGGCCUCAAAAACUGCCUCUACACAGGGGUUUUAGGAAUGGAACGGCUUUACUCUCGGCUUACUUGGGCUUUUCGUUGAUGCUGCUCAGUUCCUUCGUGUUCAUUCACGUAGCAAAUUAUUCCUUCACUAAAAUCUUUCAGUCUUUUGGGUUUAAUUUUCUUUUUUUUAAGUUUAUAGAUUGCACUAAUUAGGAAUUUUUAAAAAUUCUAUUACUUUCAUCAUUGAUUCAGUUUGGUAGCUUAUUUGUUCUGCCCUAAAGUUUGCUUGAUGGGAGGAACGUUCAAGGUUUAAUUAGUGAGCAGCUCGAUCUUAACGCAAUGAAUGUGCAAGCAUUUAUUGAGAAAAGUGAUAAGGGCUUACGAACGAAGAAUUCACAGACAAACACGAGGAGCGCAAGCAACAGAAGAGAAUUAAAAUGUUUUGAGAUGGAUUUGCACUUCGGCGAACUAUCGCCGUGCAAAGCCCUUCCAUGCCUGUUUGAGGUGAAACCGUAAAGAAAUCUGACACAGUAGAUGAUGAUACACUUGAGAAGUAAUGAGAAUUAUAUUAUAUGAAUCGAAUAUUGUUAUUAAAAUGUAAAAGCCCCACCGCAAAGCGCCCCAGCCGGAUGGACAAAGGAUGGAGACGUCUGCAUCUGGCACUGGCACUUGGUGGAGGCGCAUACAAAUGCGCGGUAGGGUGUGGUGCGGAUGUUAUCGUUCAUCCCUCCCAUGAUCGACCCAUCCCCUCAGAUCGAGCCCCGAGCAUCGACACGCUAUAUGAAAGUAUAGAUAUCAAUUAUAUUGCAUCUUUCAAACGAUAUAAACAACAACUUAUGAAACAUUUACUUAAUAUGAACGUAACUGUGUAUGCAAAAGGGGGGAAGCUAGGAAGCGCAACCUUAAGCGGAGGUGUUGCAACGUAGUUACACGGCACAGGUGCAAGCGUGGAGUGGAGCAGUAGAGGAGAUGUUCUCUGGAAGUAGGGACACAUAAUAGUAACAAACAAAAUCAAACAAACAAACAAAUUAUGUCAUCAAUUUUAUUUUAUUAUCGCUAUUUCCGGGUCUACGUACGGACUUGGCGUGGUGUUGUGGAUCGUUGCGUUGGUUUGUCGCUUGCCCGCAAAACCCGAUAAACACAUUACAUUAUAUUUUUCCAAUCGAAUGAAUACAUGUUUAAUGUAAGUUUUUGUUUUCUCCUAUGUUUAGUCUGCCUAUUGUCAAGCUGAACGUGAGAGCUUUAAGGCAAAAUUAUACAAUGCUAACGCUAACGGAUCGCCGCAAAACCACGCGUACAAACGGUUUGGUUUAUGGUACAUUAAUGUUGUUACUUUUUAGCAUAACACUUCCAUAAAGGGAGCUGUUAUACACGACCGUUAGCUUCGUGGAAUGGAAGUUGGUAUAAUAAUAACAACAAAAACAGAAUUAUCCUUUGUUUGUGUCCACAUGCAAAGACAGGACAGGAUGUAUGUGAAAAGAGGAGAAGGUCAUUUAAUGUACUCUACCACCCCAUCUAUGCUUUUCACAACAGACGAUUGGAGGAGGAAACCCGGUGUGGGUGUGUAUGUACCAGAGUAUUGGCGACACAUUAGCGGUUGAAUAAUUUCGAUUCGGUGGCGGCAUCAGGUAAAAAUGUCUCAAACUGGCAAACAUACAGUGGCACGAUACAGUGAAACCUCCCACUUCUCGCACUAGCAAGCAAAUCUCAAGUCGCGUUUGUGGCGAAAUAUUGAUCCUCUGCUUCGAAUCAUGCAACGGGCUGCAACGGGCUGCUGUAGGCGCGCCACACACGCAGUAGAGCAAGCACCAGACACAGUUAUGACUCAGACAGCAUUAUGCUAGCGCGAACAGAUGAGAAAGGAGUAGUAAACACGCGCCCGCCCGACGAAGAAUUCGAACGACAGUACUCUCAAGAGUAGCGCCGAAGGGGGAAAGGGGAAGGAGAGAUGACGGCGAAGACCCCGCGCAAUCAUCGGCAGGAAGAAACAGAGAGAGAGAGCGAGAGAGGAUAAUAGAUUAUUGUGUGGCGCCCAAAGUUGGUUUUUGUGUAACACUCACUGUAUCCCAUACCGAUUUGAGAUAUUUUCAAUAAAGGUACAUUUAACCCUCCCCGUUUCA
Molecule: RNA transcript, 7339 nt
Organism: Anopheles gambiae (African malaria mosquito)
Lineage: Eukaryota; Metazoa; Arthropoda; Insecta; Diptera; Culicidae
Gene: hrg
Gene name: poly(A) polymerase beta
Exons: 11
Source: RefSeq, a predicted model, not a curated record